GACGAACGCUGGCGGCGUGCUUAACACAUGCAAGUCGAACGGAAAGGCCCGGCUUUUGUUGGUUUCUCGAUUGGCGAACGGGUGAGUAACACGUGAGUAACCUGCCCCUGACUUUGUGGUAACUUCAGGGAACUGGGGCUAAUACCGGAUAUGAUCUCCUGCUGCAUGGGGGGGGUUGGAAAGUUUCGGCGUUUGGGGCUAGACUGGCGGCUUAUCAGCUUGUUUGUGGGGUAGUGGCUUACCAAGGCUUUGAGGGGUAGCCGGCCUGAGAGGGUGACCGGCGACAUUGGGCCUGCGGUAGGCACCAGUCUGGAACGGGAGGCAGAAGUGGAGAACAUUGCACAAUGGCGGGACGCCUGAGGCAGAAACGUCGCGUGCGGGAUGCCGGGUUUCGGGUUGAAAACAGAUUUCGCAUGAGCUGAAGCGUGAGUGACGGUACUGGGUAAAGAAGCCACGGCUAACUACGUG
RNAcentral lists this ribosomal RNA (468 nucleotides) under uncultured bacterium. RNAcentral's name for it is "partial 16S ribosomal RNA". It matches the Rfam family "Bacterial small subunit ribosomal RNA", at positions 28 to 507 of the family's 1533-position model. The record is from RNAcentral.